GGGAAUGUGGCUUAGUGGUAGAGUGCUUGCCUAGCAAGCAUGAAGUCCUAGGUUCAAUUCCUUAGUACCA
This 70-nucleotide transfer RNA is filed under the name Dipodomys ordii (Ord's kangaroo rat). It matches the Rfam family "tRNA". From Rfam's summary of the family: Transfer RNA (tRNA) molecules are approximately 80 nucleotides in length. Their secondary structure includes four short double-helical elements and three loops (D, anti-codon, and T loops). Further hydrogen bonds mediate the characteristic L-shaped molecular structure. tRNAs have two regions of fundamental functional importance: the anti-codon, which is responsible for specific mRNA codon recognition, and the 3' end, to which the tRNAs corresponding amino acid is attached (by aminoacyl-tRNA synthetases). tRNAs cope with the degeneracy of the genetic code in two manners: having more than one tRNA (with a specific anti-codon) for a particular amino acid; and 'wobble' base-pairing, i.e. permitting non-standard base-pairing at the 3rd anti-codon position. The record is from Rfam by way of RNAcentral. Lineage: Eukaryota; Metazoa; Chordata; Mammalia; Rodentia; Heteromyidae.